AUCGCGUCGCCCCCCCACACGUGCAUGAACAUGCUGUGCGAGGGCGACAUGCUCCCGUGCUUCGGUCGCAGGCUGGCAUAAAUGUGAGUCCCUUGUGACGGACACGACGAACAAGUGGUGGUUGAUUUCUUCAACUAAGGUGCUGUCGCUCGUCGACCCUGUUUGAUGAGGAGACUUCCAUGACCCUAAACGCAUCGUCUUACGACGCCUGCCACGACCGC
RNAcentral lists this ribosomal RNA (221 nucleotides) under Gentiana producta. Lineage: Eukaryota; Viridiplantae; Streptophyta; Magnoliopsida; Gentianales; Gentianaceae. The record is from RNAcentral.